RNAcentral lists this ribosomal RNA (494 nucleotides) under uncultured bacterium. Its description in RNAcentral is "partial 16S ribosomal RNA". It matches the Rfam family "Bacterial small subunit ribosomal RNA", at positions 28 to 507 of the family's 1533-position model. The record is from RNAcentral.
GACGAACGCUGGCGGCGUGCUUAACACAUGCAAGUCGAACGGAAAGGCCUGCUUUCCCUUGUGGAUUGCGGGUACUCGAGUGGCGAACGGGUGAGUAACACGUGAGUGAUCUGCCCCCAACUUGGGUAUAAGCCUGGGAAACUGGGUCUAAUUCCCGAUAGGACUGCAGGGUGGUGCCUGUGGUGGAAAACGAUUUUCUAGUGGUUGGGGAUGAGCUCGCGGCCUAUCAGCUUGUUGGUGGGGUAAUGGCCUACCAAGGCGGCGACGGGUAGCCGGCCUGAGAGGGUGGACGGCCACAUUGGGACUGAGAUCCGGCCCAGACUCCUACGGGCGGCAGCAGUGGGGAAUAUUGCACAAUGGGCGGAAGCCUGAUGCAGCGACGCCGCGUGGGGGAUGACGGCCUUCGGGUUGUAAACUCCUUUCGACCGCGAGGAAGCCACCUGGUUGGAAGGGUGGUGACGGUAGUGGUAGAAGAAGCACCGGCUAACUACGUG